This 389-nucleotide unclassified non-coding RNA is filed under the name soil metagenome. RNAcentral's name for it is "partial contains 5.8S ribosomal RNA, internal transcribed spacer 2, and large subunit ribosomal RNA". The stretch from base 1 to 122 matches the Rfam family "5.8S ribosomal RNA", at positions 35 to 154 of the family's 154-position model. The record is from RNAcentral.
GAUGAAGAACGUAGCGAAAUGCGAUACUUGGUGUGAAUUGCAGAAUCCCGCGAAUCAUCGAGUUUUUGAACGCAAGUUGCGCCCGAAGCCAUUCGGCCGAGGGCACGUCUGCCUGGGUGUCACGCAUCGUUGCCCCCCCAAACUCCGGUUCGGGCGGGGCGGAAAUUGGCCUCCCGUGCGUGCCCGCGCGCGCGGUUAGCCCAAAAGCGAGUCCUCGGCGACGAGCGCCACGACAAUCGGUGGUUUUUUGCCCUCCUUCCUCGUCGUGCGCGCCCCGUCGCCCGUACGCGCUCCUGCAACCCUCACGCAUCGCCUCGGCAGCGCUCCCAACGCGACCCCAGGUCAGGCGGGACUACCCGCUGAGUUUAAGCAUAUCAAUAAGCGGAGGA